GGGCGAAUGGUUUAGUGGUAUAAUACUCCCUUAGCAUGUUUACCCCAUCUGGGAGUGGUCCAGGGUUCGAUUCCCUGUUCGUCCA
Molecule: transfer RNA, 85 nt
Filed under: Claviceps sp. LM84 group G4
Lineage: Eukaryota; Fungi; Ascomycota; Sordariomycetes; Hypocreales; Clavicipitaceae
Also listed under: 2 other names
Description: tRNA-Ala
Rfam family: tRNA
About the family: Transfer RNA (tRNA) molecules are approximately 80 nucleotides in length. Their secondary structure includes four short double-helical elements and three loops (D, anti-codon, and T loops). Further hydrogen bonds mediate the characteristic L-shaped molecular structure. tRNAs have two regions of fundamental functional importance: the anti-codon, which is responsible for specific mRNA codon recognition, and the 3' end, to which the tRNAs corresponding amino acid is attached (by aminoacyl-tRNA synthetases). tRNAs cope with the degeneracy of the genetic code in two manners: having more than one tRNA (with a specific anti-codon) for a particular amino acid; and 'wobble' base-pairing, i.e. permitting non-standard base-pairing at the 3rd anti-codon position.
Source: RNAcentral